Non-coding RNA from Malus domestica (apple), 5246 nucleotides. NCBI's taxonomy places the organism in Eukaryota, Viridiplantae, Streptophyta, Magnoliopsida, Rosales, Rosaceae. The record is from RefSeq and is a predicted model, not a curated record.
UCGUUUGAUUGUUUGGGUUUUUGUGGUUUUUGUUUCCUUUGCUCUCUCUCCCUGUUACCUCUGUUGGUUUUUGUCACUGGUGUUCUUUGUUCUCUCAUGUUCUAUCUUGCUUUUCUAUCAACUUAAAGCUUUCCGGUGAGUUAUUCAAAACUUGCAAGUGGGAGGGUUUUUUUUUGUUUUUUUUUCUUUCCAAAUCGAUGAGUUUUAUUAUCUUCAAUUUUAGAUGUUAAAAAUUGAUUGUUUAUUUUGGUUAGAUAUUUUAUUAACCUUUGUUAUGUGUUCUGAUCAAGGAUUGAAUUAGGUUUGGGAGUUUUAAUUUGAUGAUUUUUUUUUUAUUCAAAUGUUUAGUUGCAAAAAUUUUAAAUUAGUUUGUGUUCUGGGUUUCAGAUUUGGUGAAAUAUUUUAUUGGCUUGUGUUAUGUGUUUUGAUGAAGGUUUGAACACAAAAAAACAACCACACAGGCCUUGGCCUUUUGCAUUGAGUAUUUUGCUUCUUUUUUUUUUGGUGUUGUGGUUGUUUGUUUUUUAUUUCAGGAAACAUUGCUGAUCGAAUUUUAGGGUUUUGUAUAGAAGCUUGCUAGCCCUUUCUGAUUAAGGUAUAUAAUUUAUGUUUUUCCUCUUAAAUCUUUUCUUGAACAAAAGUUUAAAUUUUUUUGGGUCUUAUUUCGUUUGCAGAUCUAUUUUAUAAUAAUAAUAAUAAUAAUAAUAAUAAAUAAUUUUUGGGGUUUUGUUUCUGUGUUUGGAUUUUUAGUGUGGGUAUAUGAUUUGGUUUUUUAUUUUAUUUUGAGGAAGCAAUGGUCAUCGUUUUUUGCCGCGUUUAUGUGUAGGGUUCCAGUUUCCAGGUGCUUGAGGUCAAUCCCGUUCUGUUUGCAACAUACUAGCGAUGAUUUAAAACAUUUUACGGUGGACAAUCAAUUGGAAACAGCUUCAAAUGGGAAGUUUUCGCAAGGGACGCAUGUAAGUGGGGUUUGCCCGAUGCCGAUGGAGAAUGCUUUUUGGAAUUCCAUUAAGGGAAAUUUUGGGUUUUAUUGAAGAAAUUUUAAACCCAUAAAGCUUGGGUUUCCUGGUGGACUAUGCCGUUUGAGAAACUAUGUACUCAAACGCUCUCAACGAAUACCCGCUUUCUCCCUCUCUCUCAUGAUAAUUGAUACGGAGUACCAGACCCAGAGAAGGUGAGAAUCUAGACUUCCCAAACUUGGCCUCCCAUCUCGGCUGUGGAGUAUCAACCGGUACACUUGAGCUUCCCAAACUAUGUUGAAAUAUUUGAGAAAUGCUGAGUAAACAAAAGAGAAAAGGAAUUUUAGAGAGAGUGAUAUAAUAGUUGCUCUAUAAUUGUAUGAAUGAAUUAACUAUUCAACAAAGAGAGAGAGUUAACAAUUUAUACAACACCUAAUCACCUUGCUUAGCCCUCAUGGCACAUACUUAACAGACUAACAAACACUAACAAUCUCUAAACUGGUCUGCUGAGCUGGACCAUUAACCUCUGUUUAUAUCUCAGCCACUCAUUUUUCGGCACUUAUUACUAUUUGCAAAAUCUAGAGUUGCAGAAACCCCAUUCUUAAUGAAUAUUAUUUUUUGUUGAUAAUUAAUUGAUGAUUAAUCUAUUCCAUUAUUAUUAUUUUACCGCCAAAUACUUUGAAUAUUCAUUAGCAAAAGAUAUAGGGUUAACUAUUUAAUGAAUACAAUUUUGAUGGUUGAUUGCAUUUCGUCAGUUAUAAAUAUGGUGAAUCCAUUAUUCAAUGCUAGCUGAAUAAUCACAAUGAUUUGGCCACUUAUCUUGAAUUCUGUUCAAAUUGAUGAAGUCGCAUGUUUCUUAAAUGGAAACUUGUGUUCUUUGAAUUUGGCUUUUACAAUUGAAGUCAAAUUGACUCUGGCUUGAGCGACAUUUGUAAAUCCCGUGUUCUGAAAAUUACUUUACACACCAUGACCUGCAUUUCUAACUGUUUACUAGUCUAUACUUUAGAGAUAGUGUACAUCAUUUUACUUUUUGUUGUGCAUGUGACUGUGAUCUUGAAUAUUUGAUAUUCUUUGAGAUUUUCAGCAUUCAGGUUUCGAAAAUUCUGAACUCUAUUCUUUUGUUUUUCUUCCUGUUUUAUCAAGAAUUGAGCCAUGGUCCUUUAAACAACAUUUGGGGCAAGCUGUUUUUAUCCCUGUUGGAUGCCCUUUUCAAGUCAGGAAUCUUUAGGUAGUUUUCUUUGUUGCUAAAUUAAUAUUUUUGAAGUACCAACUCCGGGAUAUUUAAUGAAAAUGUGAACGGUUUAGAUUGACUAGACAAGUAAUUUAUUUAAAGCAUCUAAUUGUACUUGCAUAUGUAUUAGUUUUAUUUCUUGGUCGUUCAACGACGUCACAUAGCAAAAGUUAAGUCAUCUAAUACUACAAUGUACAUACAAUACAGAAAGAAGCUAUCUUAAUAUUGGAUAACUUAACAUUCUCUGUUUUUUAUUUUUUAGUUUUCAUUAACCCUGUAUCUUAAAAAAUAGUUAUUUUUGAGUUUUGUAGGCUACUUUUAUCAAUUGUCAAAUGUGACUCAAAAACUAAUCCAAAAGCUUUAAAAAAAAUUUACUGUUUGAUAAUUUCCUUUCCGAAAUUCUAAUUAUGUUUAUACUUUUGUCAAUCAUUACAUGUUUUGUAAGAACUCCAAAUUCACAUUGUAUUUCAAUAAAUUUUAAACGCUUUGUCUACGCUCUUAAUUUUUUUUACUACAAUGUGUUAAAUAUUUUUAAUUACUAAAUCAAAUUAUUGCUAUUCCAUUUACUAGAAAAAAAAAAUUCCAGCAUUAUUCUUAUCAUUCACAGAUGUGUGCUUCUCAAGCUUUGUUCUAUAUAAAUUUUAAUGCACUUAACACUUCAGGAUCAUUGGCAUUGAUCAAAUAAGGUGACCAAAUUCUUAUUAUUGAUCAUUCAAUACCUUCUUUCUUUGCUAAGUUUUUUUUCACCCCUCUUAAAACUUAUUAACUUUGAUAUGCUUCAAGUUAUUCCUUGGUAUAGAACCUGCCUCAACUGCUUUCGAAAUAAUCAGAUUCUCUUUUGCAUGAUUAUGUGAAUGAUUGAAUUUUUGAAAGAAAUUGAUUUAAUUUUUUUUUUCAUAUUUAGGCGGGCAAGAGAUAAUGAAUUGACAAAGCAGAAAGCUUUGGAGAAAGCUAGAAAGCUUAAGGUAAAAAAACUGCAUGUUACAAAGGAAAAACCACACCAGCGCACACUUGGAAAUAGCUAGAGGUUUCAUGGGAAUUUUCAGCUAUUUGCAAUAAUGAGAAUACAAAGUAAUAGGUUUGUCAUCUUUUGAUUUAUAUUAAUUUUUUAUUGUUUUGUACAUUAAUAAUUAUGCGACUGAUUAUAUUUUAUUGUGCUAAUGUGUAGUGCAUAUAACUUUAGCCAACAUUAUAGAAUCCAUUUUCUGUUGAAAAUUUUGAAUGUUCUGUGAUGGAAAAGGUUAUGAUAAAUUGCAAGGUAGAAAUUCUGUUAUGAGUUCUUUAGCUGAUUUGGGGCAUCUUUCUUUACGAUGUUUAAUUUCAUCUAGAAACAAAUAGUGUUUAGAAUCACCAAGUGGUACAAAAAAGUAUUUUAAAUUGUUUUUUAACCAAUCUAUUGCCAACUUUUCCAACAGGUUUCUUAUUUUAUUUUCCAUUAUUAUUGUGUGCGUAAGAAUUAAUCUAUUUUGUUUGAUCCUUAUGUUACAAUACUAUAUGUGGUUGCAAAUUUGAAAAAUGUAGGGAGACAGAUCAAUUAUGAACAAAUUAGCAUGGUUCAUCCUAAUGCUAUAUAAGUUAGGUGGCUGAUUUGUUUCCUCAUUUCUUCAUUGGUGAUUUGUGUUUUCAGUGACUUUCCAUUCGUGGGUAAUAAGUUUUUGUCAAGAGUUAAUGUGUUCAGUUCUUUUUCUUUUUUAAUUUCUGUUAUGUGUGGUUCUGUGUCAUGUGGUUGGAGUGUCAUGUGAUUAGAGAUUCCAAAAGAGAAACAUUACUUCUUUUAUUUGGUCAGAGGAGGGAGAGGAAGAAGUUCUGUUCAAUUUUGGUUUUUCCGAUGGCUUAGGAAGAAAUUAUGUCACUAUUGAUAUUGCAGGUGGACAGCUUGCAGAAAUUACAAGGUAUGCUACAAUCUGUACUUCUUCGGUAGAUUUGAUUCAAAUUGAUAGAUUUCGGUGAGAAAUAAACUUUUAUCUUUUCUUUCAGUUUAGGACUCUUAGGACUUCAAAUUUGUAAAAGAUGUGAAUAUUAGAACAAUGGCAAUAGAACCACCAAUCCAUAUGAUUGUAAACAGAUUUCAACAUAUAUCUAAAUACUAUUGCAUAUCGUAUGUAUUUAGAAUUUUUCACAUGUUUUAUACAGUUUUAAAACCCGCAGCAUCGCGCGGGCACUGUUGCUAGUUAAUGUACUAAAGAACUUAUGACACUUCAAAUUCCUAUUGAGUCUGCAUACUAAAAUUCAAGUGUUCAACUCUUUUUACAAAAUCGGACGCACGGAAAGUUGAUACAACGAUACCUACGGGAAAUGGCAGUAGCCACUUUGUGUUUGGCUUUCGGUUGUGGCAUGGAUGUCUUGUUUCAAGAGAAGACAUGGUGACUACCACAAACAAAGUUGGAAGCAAGACUUGACUUUGUGGUUGCUUGCACACAAUUGUGCAUGUUUUAUUUUAUAUGCAUUAAAUGACAAAUGGAGAAAAGUUAUACUUUAUAGACUAGGUAUAGACUUUGAUGCAUGCUAGGUAGGCUAGGUGAUAAUUAUGUCAUGUGAACUUAAGACUUUUUGGUCUUGUUUGUUGGCAUAGUUGCUAGUGUAUGCCUAUAACUAGAUGCAAUAUUUGUGCAUUUAGAAAUGCAUUGAGAGAGCAUCCGAAGGAGAACACAAAGGAGAGAAAAUAUAGAGUGAGAGUGAGAAACUCUUGGGGAGAGUGAGGCUCUUAGUAAAAUUCUGUGAGGGUACAAGGGAUUGGGGUUUGGGUUAUGUUGAUUUAACUCAAGUGUAUCUUAUACUAGUUAUUCUCAUAGUGAAAAGUAAUAUCUCUUGGAGGACGUAGACAGAUUUUUGCCGAACCUCGUAAAUUUCUCGGUGUAUUUAUUUCUUGUAUUUUAUUCUAUUCAACUGAGUGUGAUUUGGUGAGGUUGUAAUCUGAAUCUCGUUUCCGCACUGACAAACGGGCCAAGGCACAACACCUUCAACCGCUGAACUUGCACUAGUUGAUGACAGAAACAUACGCGACUGCUGAUCAUCCGUGUCUUCCAUGGAAGGUCGUAUAGAACCUACAAGGUGAUGGA